CCUACGGGAGGCAGCAGUGGGGAAUAUUGGACAAUGGGCGAAAGCCUGAUCCAGCAAUGCCGCGUGAGUGAUGAAGGCCUUAGGGUCGUAAAGCUCUUUUACCAGGGAUGAUAAUGACAGUACCUGGAGAAUAAGCUCCGGCUAACUCCGUGCCAGCAGCCGCGGUAAUACGGAGGGAGCUAGCGUUGUUCGGAAUUACUGGGCGUAAAGCGUACGUAGGCGGUUAUUCAAGUCAGAGGUGAAAGCCCGGGGCUCAACCCCGGAACGGCCUUUGAAACUAGAUAGCUAGAGUCUUGGAGAGGUCAGUGGAAUUCCGAGUGUAGAGGUGAAAUUCGUAGAUAUUCGGAAGAACACCAGUGGCGAAGGCGACUGACUGGACAAGUACUGACGCUGAGGUACGAAAGCGUGGGGAGCAAACAGGAUUAGAUACCCUGGUAGUCCACGCCGUAAACGAUGAUAACUAGCUGUCCGGGUACUUGGUAUCUGGGUGGCGCAGCUAACGCAUUAAGUUAUCCGCCUGGGGAGUACGGUCGCAAGAUUAAAACUUAAAGGAAAUUGACGG
Molecule: ribosomal RNA, 562 nt
Filed under: uncultured bacterium
Lineage: Bacteria
Description: bacterial SSU rRNA
Rfam family: Bacterial small subunit ribosomal RNA
Source: RNAcentral